UACGGACAAAAUAUUAGUACUUUAUUUAUAACAUUGCGAAGAAAGUAUCAAGAUCAACAAAAUACAUAUGAUACUGCUCAUGUACGGACUGAAUAUUAGUACUUUAUUUAAUUAAGUGCUAAAAUAAAUUAAACGUGUUCAAAUAUACUAAAAGAAAUAUUGUAUACUCGAUUUUUAAUAAGUCAUUUUGCCUACUUCACUUUGUGAAGAGAAGACAUACUUCUCAUUUAACUCAAAACCUCACCCUGUCGAUUGAAAUCAAACAUAUCGCUCUAAAUGAGGUAGCCUUUAUCCUUUUCAACUAAUUUUGAAUUGAUAUAUAGUUGCUGUUAAGAGGAAAACACAAAGAAAGUGAAGA
Molecule: long non-coding RNA, 358 nt
Filed under: Nicotiana benthamiana
Lineage: Eukaryota; Viridiplantae; Streptophyta; Magnoliopsida; Solanales; Solanaceae
Description: long non-coding RNA (NBEN_LNC039267)
Source: RNAcentral